UAUAAAAUUUUCAUUUGAUACAAUCUGUGCCAUAAAAGUCUAAAAUUGUGUGCUGCAAACGCUGUCCAAUGGACCAAGUAAGGGGCUGUGUGUGCUCUAUUUAGGGAUGGGAACAGUCUCUUAGGUCUUAGGUGCUGGGCUCCUGCAGACUUACAGGACGAUUGAUAUUGCUGUCACUGGUUAAACUGCAGGUGCCACAAAGCUGAGACAUGGUCCAUAUCAGCAGCCUGAACACCCCUCAGCAAACAUGGACAAUAGGUGCUUUCAACAGCUUCAUACUAAUGUUAAGCAUAAUGUUGCUUUUAUAACCUACAGCAUGGUGUCUUCUGAUCAUUAGGUACCGGGGAGGUGUACUCAGCUGUAGGUCUGAAGGUGAGAAACAACAGUACAAUUUGAAUUUCCCAGCCUUCUGCUCCCUGCCUCAAUCCAGCAGCAAGCUUGGUUUGGUUCCAGUGUGCAUCUGUCUUAGUAACAGAGCAGUAAAAAUUCAGUCUGUAAAGGCCAGCAAAACAGCUUAUAAGUUGCCAGUGGUUUUGGUUUUCUGUUUUCUUUUUUUUUCUCUCUUCACAGCUUACACGCAUUUUUUGGGAACUGAGGUGCAUGGGCAGAUCUGCAUUGUCUGCCACGUCGUUCUUCCAUAGACCAACACUAAGAAAUAAGUAUCAAUGGCAAAACCUUUUAAUGGUUAGGCAGAACUUUUCACUCAAAAAAAAAUUUCAGUCCAUAUGCUGUUGUGGGAACAAGUAUUUCCAGCACCAUGAAUAAAACCAUAAAGCCAAGGUGAAUGCUGUACUGUUGGAAUGACUUAAAUGUGACCUGCUGCUGUACAGUAGCAUACAGAGUACCCCAUUUAUGAGGAAGAGUACAACAAAGAAGAUCUCGGCAACAAAGAAAUUCGCUUGCUCCCGGAAGGAAGUGCAGCAGUUAGAGACAUGCUUUCUCCUUGAGAAACUGGAGGUCUGGACCUCCAGGCAUGAAACAAACCUUCCUCCAGCUCUCAUGAAUGGAGAAGAAAGUGGAAACUACACUCCUGUAUACACACAGCACAAAGCUGCACGGAUUCAAAACUGCAUUAAACGGAAACCCUCUUCUUUCACAAAAGAAGUGCCCUCUUCUGUCAUAGUUUCCACCCUGGAAUGUUUCGCAAAAAAUACAUUCACAAGCUGUUUGUUGUGAACAGUGUCAAAACCACUAUUAAACACUAGUUUAUUGUUACUUUUAAGGCAUAGCAGCUGAUACUGUGUUUUGAAUGUGAGUCAGCUGUUCUUUUCAGGAGGAUUUUGAAGAGCAGUUACUGAUCUCUGGGGCCAGGCUGAGUUUAGUUCAAGCAGAUCUUCAUAAAGAAAGACUUGUUAAUCUCACACCAUUUCCUAUCCUAUGGCUGGCCUGCUGGUAGGUCCCCAAGGAAGUGCAUCAGUGCACUAAAGACAGUGUAAUUUCUAGUUUCUCACCACGUUUCUGAAAAUCUUUGAGAGUAGGUUCCCAGUUUUCCAAUUGUCUCUCCCCAUCAGGACCAGUUAUGCGUGUGGACAGCAGCCAAGGAUGCCGGAGGAGGUUUUCUCCCCAUUUUGCCUCUAGCAAGGAAGACAGAGUGCAGAUGUUUGAGCAGUACAUGGUGCCUGAAGAGCCACUCCAGUCCUCUCCCACAGCUCCUGUGGCCUUACAGCUCCCUGCUGCUGAGCCAGGUUUCUGUCAGGGCAAUAAGAACAGCGACCACUAGCUGUGGUUCACCAGUAUGGCCUUCUUCUUUCCCAGAAAGGAAAGAGAAAAGGUCAUCCCGAGUUUUCCAAGCUUUCUAAAGACUUCUCCCGGAACCAUAAAGCUUUUCCCAGUCUUUUUGUCCUUACUUUUGGAACAGCAACAUCUGUUUCACCCUCGCUGCCAAGCAGCUCAUUUCCUAGGUUCCCCAUGCAAUGGAUCAGUCCUACAGUGACAUGCACUUCCGCUUUAUAACCCUGAAAUGAAUUGGUAUCUACACAGAUCAGACUCUGAAUGCUACCACACACAAGUAUCAGCAGAAUGGAUGUUGCAUACAAAUGGCAUUUUUCUGGUGACUUCUUAAAGAGUACUAUCAAACCUUGUAUCUGUCCAGAAAGCAGUCUUUUUGGCAGCUAACCUGACCUUGUGGGCUGUCAGCACUGAUUUGUUUUCCGUACCACUUGGACUCAGAGAAGAAAAUUCCAUGCAGUUAUUUAUGGCCUCCCUGUAAGAUAACAUACAUCCAGAGAUGUGAGAUAAGGUGGUCUCCUACCAUGAAGUGGACUGUUCAGUGUGGUAUAACUCCACGACGUUGAUUGUAAUUUCAUCUUUCAUCACCAGCAGAGGGAGCAGCAGUGACUGAGCUGCACAAACCGUGGGGGUUUAAUCCACUCCAUCAGCCAAAUUCCCUCUGCAAACACCCUGAAAAACCUCUAGUGCUGUCAGCAGGAACCAAAGAAAAAUGUCUGAUCCUUGAAUACGUUAAAAUAUUCCUAUUUUCUUCAAAGUAAACUCUUGUGUACCCCCUUAAUUAAAUGAGUAGCAUCACAUUCACAGCUUUGUGAAAAAUAUAUGGCAUACGAGUGGUAUUUGGAAAGAGAUCAGAGACCUGACUACACAGACCAUAGCCAUCACAUCUCUUAAGCCAAAAUCAUGCUUCAGAGAUAUUUAGCAAACUCUGUUCCUGAUUUUGCAACUUAAACCACAGUUCUGUGGGAAGACACAGUUCAAAUAUGAAAACUAUAGUUACUUGAGACCUAAGAUUUUGAAAGAUGUUGGAAUGCAUUUCAAAAUUGUCAGUUGUUGUAGUUUGCUUUCAGACAGUGUUUAAAAGUGUCAGAAUCCUUAAAUCAGUCCUCAUUUUAGCAUUUUCAUUCAACCAAUCUAAAAAAAAAAAAAAAAAAGGGAAAUUCACAGCUGUUAAAAAAACUUCUAAGAGAAGACUGGAUUUAAAGCAGUGUAGUCCAUUACCAAAGCUCUGGGUUUGAACACUUCUGCUGUGGGAAAGCAGUAGAGAGACCCUCUGCUACACAACUCCUAAUUGAGUCCUAAUGUGCCAGUGAAUACAUUAGUUGGCUCUCUGACAUUUCACCCAUUUCAGUAAUCAUCUUCACCAAAUAUGAACACAUAUGCUAUUGUAGACUAGAUGACAAGGUUGUGCACAUGAACUCUGUCUUCCUUCAACCUUAUCAGCACCUCUAAUGGAAGACACUUUGACUACAAACAUGACGUGCUUAUAAACACAGCCAAGACAAACCCAGCAGCCCAGUUCCUGCCCAGGAUCAUGUCAGUUCAGCUCAUCCCAAAACCAGCCAUCUAAAACUGAAAGCCUAUCUACCAUCAUCAGCCUGACGUUUAUUACAUUAUUUCUGAUGAAUGUAAAGCAGUAAUAAUAUUGGGGAAAAUGGUAAUUAUGGAGACUUCAUAUUACAGGCAGAGAAAAGAUCAAGGGUUUGCUGGUGGUCUUGCAGGAAAAGAAGUGAGGGAUCUCAGAGUUGCUCUGGGCUCUCCCUCACUGUGGUAUCAACUCGCCUGGCUGUCAGAGAUGGUGCCUAAGGAAGCACUACUGCAGGUUACUCUCAGCCUGUCUAACCUGCUAAGGAUCUGGUCAGAAUGCCUGGCAGGUGGGAGGUGGACACAUGCUAUUUGAAAUGUUCACAGUGUUUCAUAAGUAAAUUAUACUUAGUCACCAAAAUUUCAUUUAUCCACUCUCAGUUUCCUGACAUGUCACUGGCACUCUGGAGUCUUUUAGCUAUUGGUGUCAAUAAUAUGAAAAAAUUAAAUCUUCUUACCUUGGGAGGCUUUACAGUAAUGACACACCACUCUUCAGAAUCCACAUCAGCAUGGUCCUCCCAGUCACUUAUUUGGUUGAGGGCAGGGCAUUGACCGUACAUUUUUUAAUACCUGCAAAGAAAGAAAUUUCGUAUCUUUCCUGACCAAAAGUAUCUUUGAUAAAUGUCAGUGUUACUGUGUCGAAACAGCUUAUUCAGUGGGCUAUCCUGCCAUAGGGGCUAAACAAAAGUCACAAGGCUUUAUUUUGUUAAAGAAAUAUAAUUUUAGCCACUUUGAAGAAAGGGCAGAGGAUGGAUUACAAGUGUAACUGUAGCAUUUCUUGUGUUUAUCACACUUAAAAUACAGCAGUGCAGUUUGGUUUGCAGCAUGUGAUCUUAUUAAUUUAUAUGCGUUCAUAUUAAUAAUUAAUAUUAAAAUCACUUUAAUUAAUUUUUGCCAUUGGAUUCCUUGAAAGGGAAUUUAAAGCAUGCUUUCACUGUAUAUUUAACACAGUCCAUUUUUUCAAUUUUGCUAUAUGUGAUUCCUCUUGAAUUUCUAAAGUAAUUUUUAUCAUUUCCCAGAAUUGUCUACCAUGUAAGAAAAGAACCAACAAUUUCGGAACUCAGAAGGAUGAGUGACACUAUUAACAGUGAUACUAAUAAUAAUUCAGCAAUUGAAGUUCUGUGUAUCUCUUUCAUAUAGCACUAGUCACUGGAUAUUAAUUAAUUACAUGGUAUUUACUAAUGUAGCUAAAAUGGGUCUGAGUUGUUGGACCCAUAAGCUGUUUUUGUCUGCAAUCUGCAAAGGUGAUAAUUUAUCUUUAAAAAAUAUUUCUUUACAAUGUUGCUUUCUGAUCACUGCAUCAUUGAUCACUAAAUCAGAAAUAUUUUUUGCCACUAGUACUGAAAGGCUAAAGUUUCCACAUGCUUUAAGUGCAUUCAUCAGCAACAUAAUUGCUCACUUUCCUAUAGCUUAAUUUGCCCAAACAUACAGAAAUCUGCUCCAAUGUUUUCAUUGAAGAUGACAAAUACGCAAUGAUACUGUGGGCUGUCUGGUUUUGGUUAUGAUCCAUAAGUGUAUGUGCUAUUUAACAACCAAUAAAAUAUGACAGGCAUAUAUAA
Corvus hawaiiensis (hawaiian crow) is the source of this 4871-nucleotide long non-coding RNA. RefSeq lists it as uncharacterized. Lineage: Eukaryota; Metazoa; Chordata; Aves; Passeriformes; Corvidae. The record is from RefSeq and is a predicted model, not a curated record. The transcript has 4 exons.